GACGAACGCUGGCGGCGUGCUUAACACAUGCAAGUCGAACGGAAAGGCCUCUUUCGGGGGGUACUCGAGUGGCGAACGGGUGAGUAACACGUGAGUAACCUGCCCUUGACUUUGGGAUAACUUCAGGAAACUGGGGCUAAUACCGGAUAGGAGCUCCUGCUGCAUGGUGGGGGUUGGAAAGUUUCGGCGGUUGGGGAUGGACUCGCGGCUUAUCAGCUUGUUGGUGGGGUAGUGGCUUACCAAGGCUUUGACGGGUAGCCGGCCUGAGAGGGUGACCGGCCACAUUGGGACUGAGAUACGGCCCAGACUCCUACGGGAGGCAGCCGUGGGGAAUAUUGCUCGAUGGGUGGAAGCCUGAUGCAGCAACGCCGUGUGCGGGAUGACGGCCUUCGGGUUGUAAACCGCUUUCGCUCAUGACGAAGCUUUGUGUGACGGUAGUGGGUAAAGAAGCACCGGCUAACUACGUG
RNAcentral lists this ribosomal RNA (467 nucleotides) under uncultured bacterium. RNAcentral's name for it is "partial 16S ribosomal RNA". It matches the Rfam family "Bacterial small subunit ribosomal RNA", at positions 28 to 507 of the family's 1533-position model. The record is from RNAcentral.